UACGUAGGUGGCAAGCGUUGUCCGGAUUUACUGGGCGUAAAGGGCGCGUAGGCGGCGUGACAAGUCACUUGUGAAAUCUCCGGGCUUAACUCGGAACGGUCAAGUGAUACUGUCGGACUAGAGUACAGAAGGGGCAACUGGAAUUCUCGGUGUAGCGGUGAAAUGCGUAGAUAUCGAGAGGAACACCUGCGGCGAAGGCGGGUUGCUGGGCUGAUAACUGACGCUGGAGGCGCGGAAAAGCCUAGGGGAGCGAACGGG
This 258-nucleotide ribosomal RNA is filed under the name uncultured bacterium. RNAcentral's name for it is "partial 16S ribosomal RNA". It matches the Rfam family "Bacterial small subunit ribosomal RNA", at positions 524 to 776 of the family's 1533-position model. The record is from RNAcentral.